UGGGGAAUAUUGCACAAUGGGCGCAAGCCUGAUGCAGCCAUGCCGCGUGUGUGAAGAAGGCCUUCGGGUUGUAAAGCACUUUCAGCGGGGAGGAAGGCGAUAAGGUUAAUAACCUCAUCGAUUGACGUUACCCGCAGAAGAAGCACCGGCUAACUCCGUGCCAGCAGCCGCGGUAAUACGGAGGGUGCAAGCGUUAAUCGGAAUUACUGGGCGUAAAGCGCACGCAGGCGGUCUGUCAAGUCGGAUGUGAAAUCCCCGGGCUCAACCUGGGAACUGCAUUCGAAACUGGCAGGCUAGAGUCUUGUAGAGGGGGGUAGAAUUCCAGGUGUAGCGGUGACAUGCGUAGAGAUCUGGAGGAAUACCGGUGGCGAAGGCGGCCCCCUGGACAAAGACUGACGCUCUGGUGCGAAAGCGUGGGGAGCAAACAGG
Molecule: ribosomal RNA, 429 nt
Filed under: Chloroflexota bacterium
Lineage: Bacteria; Bacillati; Chloroflexota
Description: Chloroflexi bacterium partial 16S ribosomal RNA
Rfam family: Bacterial small subunit ribosomal RNA
Source: RNAcentral